This 1044-nucleotide ribosomal RNA is filed under the name uncultured Alphaproteobacteria bacterium. Its description in RNAcentral is "bacterial SSU rRNA". It matches the Rfam family "Bacterial small subunit ribosomal RNA", at positions 28 to 1120 of the family's 1533-position model. Lineage: Bacteria; Pseudomonadati; Pseudomonadota; Alphaproteobacteria. The record is from RNAcentral.
AACGAACGCUGGCGGCAUGCCUAACACAUGCAAGUCGAACGAAGGCUUCGGCCUUAGUGGCGCACGGGUGCGUAACGCGUGGGAAUCUGCCCUUAGGUUCGGAAUAACAGCUGGAAACGGCUGCUAAUACCGGAUGAUAUCGCGAGAUCAAAGAUUUAUCGCCUGAGGAUGAGCCCGCGUUGGAUUAGGUAGUUGGUGGGGUAAAGGCCUACCAAGCCGACGAUCCAUAGCUGGUCUGAGAGGAUGAUCAGCCACACUGGGACUGAGACACGGCCCAGACUCCUACGGGAGGCAGCAGUGGGGAAUAUUGGACAAUGGGCGAAAGCCUGAUCCAGCAAUGCCGCGUGAGUGAUGAAGGCCCUAGGGUUGUAAAGCUCUUUUACCCGGGAAGAUAAUGACUGUACCGGGAGAAUAAGCCCCGGCUAACUCCGUGCCAGCAGCCGCGGUAAUACGGAGGGGGCUAGCGUUGUUCGGAAUUACUGGGCGUAAAGCGCACGUAGGCGGCUUUGUAAGUCAGAGGUGAAAGCCCCGGGCUUAACCUGGGAACUGCAUUUGAUACUGGUAGGCUAGAGUAUGGUAGAGGGGGGUAGAAUUCCUAGUGUAGCGGUGAAAUGCGUAGAUAUUAGGAGGAAUACCAGUGGCGAAGGCGGCCCCCUGGACCAAUACUGACGCUGAGGUACGAAAGCGUGGGUAGCGAACAGGAUUAGAUACCCUGGUAGUCCACGCCGUAAACGAUGUCAACUAGCCGUUGGGACCUUGAGGUCUCAGUGGUGCAGCUAACGCGUGAAGUUGACCGCCUGGGGAGUACGGCCGCAAGGCUAAAACUCAAAUGAAUUGACGGGGGCCCGCACAAGCGGUGGAGCAUGUGGUUUAAUUCGAUGCAACGCGAAGAACCUUACCUACCCUUGACAUUGACAGAAUCCAGUAGAGAUACAGGAGUGCCUUCGGGCCUGGAAAACAGGUGCUGCAUGGCUGUCGUCAGCUCGUGUCGUGAGAUGUUGGGUUAAGUCCCGCAACGAGCGCAACCCUUAUCCUUAGUUGCCA